Drosophila mauritiana is the source of this 727-nucleotide long non-coding RNA. RefSeq lists it as uncharacterized. The transcript is spliced from 3 exons. The record is from RefSeq and is a predicted model, not a curated record. NCBI's taxonomy places the organism in Eukaryota, Metazoa, Arthropoda, Insecta, Diptera, Drosophilidae.
CAAAAAACAUUGAAAUUUAGGACUAACAUUGUGUAAUUUAUUUCUUUUCAGGUACCCCCGCCAGAAGGACGGAAGCAUCGAGUCGCUGAGGAGCCUAAGGAGUCAUCACAGGUGAGUUUUUGUUGUGUGUUGGCUGUGGACUGUUGCGGCCGCUGGAAGUGGGCCACUUGCAACAAGUUUGUCCGGCCGGAGUUGCAGGUGAAUUGUUCUCGGUAGCAGCAUGCCGCGCCGCCGUCAUUUGGUGAAGAUCCGUUAUAUCGUCAGUGGCAGAUUUAUGCAAUUGUUUAAUGAGUUCGUUUGUAUUGCAGAUGCAAAUUGCCGGUCGUCAGCUGUCAUUGCAUUUUUAUUGAGCUGCUGGCAUUAUGGUGGUGGCGUUCGUCUCGUGGCAGAGAAGUCGUCAGUGAGGAUUGUAGCUCGGUCUAUCACCGAGGAAAGCCAGGUGCGCCGCGUCUUGUGGCCAUAGCGUCAGGAUUGGCAGCUUGGGGCCGCCGGUUCGAGAUUUGUUGCAGAGGGCCGCCGCAACGUGAUAGGCAUGGAAAUGAAUGUAAGAAUUGUAUUUGGUACAUUGAGUGGAAUUUAAUUUAAGGUACGUUUUGUGAGGGCUAACUUGGAGGCCCUUUUUAUUGUGUUAUUGCAGCUGGAAUGCCGCGAUUUUGGAGUCAUCAAGUUGGCAAUUAGAUAAGUAUUAUAUUAUAAAUAUAUAUUUCCCAGUAAUAGCUUGUGUUCC